RNA transcript from Brassica oleracea var. oleracea, 1871 nucleotides. RefSeq lists it as uncharacterized. The record is from RefSeq and is a predicted model, not a curated record. The transcript has 9 exons. NCBI's taxonomy places the organism in Eukaryota, Viridiplantae, Streptophyta, Magnoliopsida, Brassicales, Brassicaceae.
UCUUCCCCGAAUCUUUCGCUUCAUCUUCUCCAAUUCUGAUUUUUUUCUACCUAACCUUCUCAAUCAAUGAUGAUGUUAAAGCUAAUCUUGAAUGUUUUGUUUCACCUUCCCUUGAUACUUCUCCUAUAUAUAUAUAUAUAUAUUUUUUUUUUUUGUCAAACGAUACUAGCUCUAUCUCUAAACCUAAAUCCCUCAUAAAACCACAAAACUACUCUGCAGAAGCUACUUCCAUGGCAACGAAAUCCCCCGGGAAGAGUCAGCUCGGAAAAUCUACCGUCGCGGCCUAUUUCAAGACAUCUUACCAGGACCAGCUGAGUCAGGGUUUCGAUUUCGGGUAAUCCUUUUUUGGGAGGCAAGAAACAUAGCCAAAGCUGGGGCCUUUAUUGGGAUAGAUCUCCUACUCAUUGAUGAACAUGAGACUGUGAUGCAAGGAUUCAUAUCCUCUCUUCGUGCUCCAACAUACCUGCCUCAUGUCAAAGCAGGAGCAACUUACACCCUUCAGAAUUUUUAUGCUGCCAAAAGCAAGGAGAUUUAUUGCUUUGCUGAUCAGAGUUUAAUAGUUUCAUUCUCAAACGGCUCUGUUCUCAAACCCCUUGACGACAUCCGCCUCUCUUUUGCCGCAUUCAGGUUCAGGUUCCACGCAUAUGAGGAUAUCCAAGCUAAUUGUGGUCUCAGGGGUGACCUCUACGAUGUCGUUGGCCACUUGAGGCUGAUGAAUGGACAGUCCUUGACGAAGCUGAAAUAAUCAACAUGCGUCAUGUUUUGGUACAUUUGCAAUCAAAAGAUUGUCCUGUUAAAAAGCUGUAUCUUUGGGACCAAGCUUCAAAAGAUUUUUACAAGAAAUCCACAUCAACUGAAGACACUUCCACCGUUAUUUUGAUCACUACUGUGAACCCAAAACGUCUAGGAGAAACAGUGAAUUUAGCUCUCAGUUCGAUGUCAACCUCAUGUGUCUUUAUAUAUUAAGAUGUCCAGCCCACGAUUGAUUACAACUGUUUUUCACAGGUUGAGUUCUAAUCCAAAGAUUGCUAAGCGGCUUAAUGCAGACGAGGUUACUAGGGCUGAGACAAUGACAAUUGGGAAAAUCCUUGCUUACAUCAAGCAAGAAUAUGCCAAGGAAGGUUCUUUCGACUGCAUAGCGACAAUUGAUGAUGUUGAGCGUGACAGUGCAUGGUAUUAUAUUGCAUGCAUCGGUUGUCAAAGUAAGGCCAUCAAAGGCCCUUAUUCGUUGAUGUGCGCCAAGUGUGGCAACACUAACGUUGCUGGUGAGCAAGAUCUCUCCUUCUACGACAAUAACGACCGGCUUCGUCAUACUUGGUGACGCAGGACGUGAGUUAACAGGGAAGAAUGCUGUGGAAUUAGUUGACAACUACUUUGAGGCUAAUCAAGAACUUGGUGUUGGCCAUGAGAUGUCUGCCCCCCCCCAACUCCCCCCAAGCUUUGAUCGACACACCAUUGGUCAAACACAUAAGUUCAGGGUGAAGGUGUAACAGGCAAGAUUCAGACUAUAACUGUUACUAAGAUUAUCAAACCAGAAGUUCUGCCACCUGUACCAACUCCAACUGAAAUCCCACUUGAUGCGGGUGAGGAAGUUGACGUGCUUUUUGGAAGUGUAGUUUGUGAAUCUUUCAAGGACUGUGGAUUCGUUGCUGAUGAGAGAAAUGAAAGUACCAAUAACAAAAAGACGAAUCACAGAAGGCUAAGUGUGCUAAACAUGUAAAAUAAGAUUCCACCACUCAUUUCAUUCGAUGCAGUGUUACUGUCUUUAUUUCCAGUUUAGGUCAAGACUAUGCUUUUACCGUUAUUUUAAACUUUCACUCUUGCUUUGGUUUGAUAUUUCCAAACACUACGCUUCUUUGUUUAGAGUUUGA